Molecule: ribosomal RNA, 404 nt
Filed under: uncultured bacterium
Lineage: Bacteria
Description: partial 16S ribosomal RNA
Rfam family: Bacterial small subunit ribosomal RNA
Source: RNAcentral
UGAANGNACCAAAUGANUAAGCACCGGCUAACUCCNUGCCAGCAGCCGCGGUAAUACGGAGGGUGCAAGCGUUAUCCGGAAUCAUUGGGUUUAAAGGGUCCNCAGGCGGGCAUAUAANUCANUGGUGAAAGCCUACNGCUCAACUGUANAACUGCCAUUGAUACUGUAAGUCUUGAAUUCGGUCGAAGUGGGCGGAAUGNGUANUGUAGCGGUGAAAUGCAUANAUAUUACACAGAACACCGAUAGCNAAGGCAGCUCACUAGGCCUGGAUUGACGCUCAGGGACNAAAGCGUGGGGAUCAAACAGGAUUAGANACCCUGGUAGUCCACGCUGUAAACNAUGAUUACUCGUUUUCGGCUAUAUACANUCGGAAACUAAGCNAAAGUGAUAAGUAAUCCACCUGG